This 491-nucleotide ribosomal RNA is filed under the name uncultured bacterium. RNAcentral's name for it is "partial 16S ribosomal RNA". It matches the Rfam family "Bacterial small subunit ribosomal RNA", at positions 29 to 506 of the family's 1533-position model. The record is from RNAcentral.
AGUGGACGCUGGCGGUAGGCCUAACACAUGCAAGUCGAACGGCAGCACAGUAAGAGCUUGCUCUUACGGGUGGCGAGUGGCGGACGGGUGAGGAAUACAUCGGAAUCUACUUUUUCGUGGGGGAUAACGUAGGGAAACUUACGCUAAUACCGCAUACGACCUACGGGUGAAAGCAGGGGAUCUUCGGACCUUGCGCGAUUGAAUGAGCCGAUGUCGGAUUAGCUAGUUGGCGGGGUAAAGGCCCACCAAGGCGACGAUCCGUAGCUGGUCUGAGAGGAUGAUCAGCCACACUGGAACUGAGACACGGUCCAGACUCCUACGGGAGGCAGCAGUGGGGAAUAUUGGACAAUGGGCGCAAGCCUGAUCCAGCCAUACCGCGUGGGUGAAGAAGGCCUUCGGGUUGUAAAGCCCUUUUGUUGGGAAAGAAAAGCAGCAGGUUAAGACCCCGCUGUUCUGACGGGACCCAAAGAAUAAGCACCGGCUAACUUCGU